UACGUAGGGUGCAAGCGUUGUCCGGAAUUAUUGGGCGUAAAGAGCUCGUAGGCGGUCUGUCACGUCGGGCGUGAAAAUCCAGGGCUUAACCCUGGACCUGCGUUCGAUACGGGCAGACUAGAGUUCGGUAGGGGAGACUGGAAUUCCUGGUGUAGCAGUGAAAUGCGUAGAGAUCAUGAGGAAGACCAGUGGCGAAGGCGGGUCUCUGGACAGUUCCUGACACUGAGACACGAAGGCCAGGGGAGCAAACGGG
Molecule: ribosomal RNA, 253 nt
Filed under: uncultured bacterium
Lineage: Bacteria
Description: partial 16S ribosomal RNA
Rfam family: Bacterial small subunit ribosomal RNA
Source: RNAcentral